Molecule: ribosomal RNA, 216 nt
Filed under: Glomeromycotina sp.
Lineage: Eukaryota; Fungi; Glomeromycota
Description: partial small subunit ribosomal RNA
Rfam family: Eukaryotic small subunit ribosomal RNA (bases 44-216)
Source: RNAcentral
GGGUCAGUAGGUUGGUCGUGCCACCGGUACGUACUGGUCUCACUGAUUCCUCCUUCCUGAAGAACCGUAAUGCCAUUAAUUUGGUGUUGCGGGGAAACAGGACUGUUACUUUGAAAAAAUUAGAGUGUUUAAAGCAAGCUAACGCCUGAAUACAUUAGCAUGGGAUAAUGAAAUAGGACGAUCGAUCCUAUUUUGUUGGCUUCUAGGAUUGACGUA